This 503-nucleotide ribosomal RNA is filed under the name uncultured bacterium. Its description in RNAcentral is "bacterial SSU rRNA". It matches the Rfam family "Bacterial small subunit ribosomal RNA", at positions 31 to 507 of the family's 1533-position model. The record is from RNAcentral.
GAACGCUGGCGGCAUGCCUUACACAUGCAAGUCGAACGGUCUUUUCUAUGGAAGCUUGCUUCCACUGAGAAGAUAGUGGCGAACGGGUGAGUAACACGUGGGUAACCUGCCCAUAAGAGGGGGAUAACAUCCGGAAACGGGUGCUAAUACCGCAUAGUUUUCUUGAUCGCAUGAUUGAGAAAGGAAAGACGGCCUUUGCGCUGUCGCUUAUGGAUGGACCCGCGGCGUAUUAGUUAGUUGGUGAGGUAACGGCUCACCAAGACGAUGAUACGUAGCCGACCUGAGAGGGUGAUCGGCCACAUUGGGACUGAGACACGGCCCAAACUCCUACGGGAGGCAGCAGUAGGGAAUCUUCCGCAAUGGACGAAAGUCUGACGGAGCAACGCCGCGUGAGUGAAGAAGGUUUUCGGAUCGUAAAACUCUGUUGUCAGAGAAGAACAAGUUGGAGAGUAACUGCUCCAGCCUUGACGGUAUCUGACCAGAAAGCCACGGCUAACUACGUG